RNAcentral lists this ribosomal RNA (430 nucleotides) under uncultured prokaryote. RNAcentral's name for it is "bacterial SSU rRNA". It matches the Rfam family "Bacterial small subunit ribosomal RNA", at positions 355 to 776 of the family's 1533-position model. The record is from RNAcentral. RNAcentral also lists the same sequence under 1 other name.
UAGGGAAUCUUCCGCAAUGGGCGCAAGCCUGACGGAGCAACGCCGCGUGAGCGAGGACGGCCUUCGGGUUGUAAAGCUCUGUUCUUCGGGAAGAAGGGCGGGAGGGCGAACAACUCUUCCGCUUGACGGUACCGAAGGAGAAAGCCCCGGCUAACUACGUGCCAGCAGCCGCGGUAAUACGUAGGGGGCGAGCGUUGUCCGGAAUUAUUGGGCGUAAAGCGCGCGUAGGCGGCCGGUUAAGUCCUGUGUGAAAGACCACGGCUCAACCGUGGGGGUGCACGGGAAACUGGCCGGCUUGGGUGCAGGAGAGGGGAGCGGAAUUCCCGGUGUAGCGGUGGAAUGCGUAGAGAUCGGGAGGAACACCAGUGGCGAAGGCGGCUCCCUGGCCUGUAACUGACGCUGAGGCGCGAAAGCGUGGGGAGCGAACAGG